UACGUAGGGUGCGAGCGUUGUCCGGAAUCACUGGGCGUAAAGGGCGCGUAGGUGGCGGGCCAAGUCGGUGGUGAAAGCUCGAUGCUUAACAUCGAGUCGGCCAUCGAUACUGGUUUGCUGGAGCACUGUAGGGGCAGAUGGAAUUCCGGGUGUAGCGGUGGAAUGCGUAGAGAUCCGGAAGAACACCGGUGGCGAAGGCGGUCUGCUGGGCAGUUGCUGACACUGAGGCGCGACAGCGUGGGGAGCAAACAGG
RNAcentral lists this ribosomal RNA (253 nucleotides) under uncultured bacterium. RNAcentral's name for it is "partial 16S ribosomal RNA". It matches the Rfam family "Bacterial small subunit ribosomal RNA", at positions 524 to 776 of the family's 1533-position model. The record is from RNAcentral.